Molecule: ribosomal RNA, 242 nt
Filed under: uncultured Pseudomonas sp.
Lineage: Bacteria; Pseudomonadati; Pseudomonadota; Gammaproteobacteria; Pseudomonadales; Pseudomonadaceae
Description: partial 16S ribosomal RNA
Rfam family: Bacterial small subunit ribosomal RNA
Source: RNAcentral
AGUAACGCCUAGGAAUCUGCCUGGUAGUGGGGGACAACGUUUCGAAAGGAACGCUAAUACCGCAUACGUCCUACGGGAGAAGCAGGGACCUUCGGGCCUUGCGCUAUCAGAUGAGCCUAGGUCGGAUUAGCUAGUUGGUGAGGUAAUGGCUCACCAAGGCGACGAUCCGUAACUGGUCUGAGAGGGUGAUCAGUCACACUGGAACUGGGACACGGUCCAGACUCCUACGGGAGGCAGCAGUA